UGCUAUUAUUUGGAGAUACAUAUAUAGUGAAAUGAAAUGCAGACUAUAGUAAAAAAUUUAGGAUAGUAGUCAAAUAACAGUUUCAAGUAGAUUCCUUUGUAGAGGGAGAGAAGGGAAAGUGAUAAGGAGACAGGAUUUAGUUGAGUGAAUAGAGUGUUUUUCAUGAAAAUAAUCUGAGCAAACAUAAAAUGUUAAUUAUCUUUUAAAUUCUAGUGACAGUUUUUGGUUUUCUGUUAUUCCUUGGAUUUUUAUCUAAGCUUGAAAUAUAUCCUAAUUUUAAAAAAUUUUAAGGGUGAACUUAAGUUUGACUAAAAUUUGCUUCAAAGGUAAAUGGAAGGUGAAUGUUAAAAACAAGAAAGAAACAUAAGUGUGGGGCUCUGGAGGGCAUUGGAAGCCAUGGUAAGGAGUUUGGGCUUUGUUUCAUGGACAAGUGUGUGUAUCAGUUUCCUGUGGCUGCUGUAAAAACUUAUCACAAACUGAUGGCUUAAAACAACUGAAAUUUAUUCUCCCAGAGUUGUGGAGGCUUGAAGUCCAAAUCCAGGUGCUGGCAGGGCUACACUCUUUCUUGGAAUUUAGGAAGAGUCUGUUCUUUGCCACUCCCAGUUUCUGCGGGCUUGUGGUUGUAUAACUCCAGUUCUUUGAAUCUGUAUCACAUGGACUUUUGUGUCUGUGUGUCUCUUAUAAAAGAUACUUGUCAUUGAAUUUAGGGCCAGAACAUAUAAUCCAGACAGGACAAUCUGAAGAUCCUCAAUUAUAUCUGCUUAAACCAUUUUUCCAAAUAAUGUCAUAUUCACAGGUUCCAGGGACUAGGAUGUGGAAAUAUCUUUGGGGGGGCACUCCCCCCUACCUCAGGAUAAAUGACAAUAUUGGGUUUAUUUCUGGCACAUACCUGUGGCUAUAGGAUGGAAGAUGAACUUGGAGAUUUAUUUACCUGGUAUAACAAUAAAAGGAAUUUCAGAAAAGGGAAUUCAUAGGACUCGGUAAUUAGGAAUGGAAGAGAGAGAAGUUAAGGUUGACUUGCAGAUUUAGCUGUACUAAUUUGAUAGAUGAAACAGAGGCAUCUGCUGUUUCUUAUGGGUCAGAUUUUGGUAGUAAGGAAUAGCUCUCUUUUGGAUGUAAUAAUUAAGUGUUUGGAAUAUGUGGUACUCAGUACUCUGUUGGAUGUAUUUCUGGGUUGGAGAGAAUAGAUUUUAUAGUGAUGAGCCUAUACCUGCUAAAUGCAGCCAUGAGAGAAAUUGGCCUUGUUACAGAUCCAUGAGGGACAAACAACAAUGUUUAAAGCAAAGUAAAGAAAAAAGCUUUUUGUAAAAUACUGAAAGGGUAUGGUCAGAGAAAAAGAAGAAAACCAUGAGACUGGUACCAAAGAGGAAGAUCAUUCAUAAACAUAGGGCAGUUUUUUCCUGA
Molecule: long non-coding RNA, 1404 nt
Organism: Phyllostomus discolor (pale spear-nosed bat)
Lineage: Eukaryota; Metazoa; Chordata; Mammalia; Chiroptera; Phyllostomidae
Exons: 2
Source: RefSeq, a predicted model, not a curated record